UGUGGAAGCGAAAACCAGAAAAAGCCUAGCCAAGAAACUGGAAAGAGCUGAUGAGAGACUUGCAGAGGCCGACAUCGAGCUCUUUUGGGAGCGCCAUAGAAGCAAAUCUGCAGUCACAAGCAGCGCUGUCAGCAUACAUCUGGCUGCAAGUCCACUUCUGGAUCCAGCUGGCCUGGGAUAUCUUGGCAACAGUUUGGGACUGAACAGAAGUCUGGGUCUCAGAACACCACCCAGACAUCUGUGGUAAAGCCGAAGACUUUAGGUCAUCUGUAGCAGUUUGAAACUCGGAUAUCAGCACAAAAGGAUUAUGUAGCAGGCCAUGGACCAACAGGGGCUGAAAGAAAGCCCACCACCUGAGGACUGCAUGCUUCUUCACAAGACCUACUGCUAUUUAACUAUGUUGAUCGGCCUGGCUCCUGCAGCAAGAUAUGGAAAGACUUUGUGAUGAUGAUAUCAGACUACGUAGAAACCCCUUUGUUCUCUCCCCCCCAUGUAAUCCUUGUUACAGGAAAUAUUAAACAAUUGUGUGACUGUA
Long non-coding RNA from Pseudopipra pipra, 535 nucleotides. RefSeq lists it as uncharacterized. NCBI's taxonomy places the organism in Eukaryota, Metazoa, Chordata, Aves, Passeriformes, Pipridae. The transcript is spliced from 2 exons. The record is from RefSeq and is a predicted model, not a curated record.